GACCCAGUGGUUAAUGAAACACAUCCACCCUCGAUGCUUUGUCAAUUUGAGUUCAGUGGGAGGUCCCGGUUCGAGUCCGGGCUGGGCCA
Mycena vulgaris is the source of this 89-nucleotide non-coding RNA. NCBI's taxonomy places the organism in Eukaryota, Fungi, Basidiomycota, Agaricomycetes, Agaricales, Mycenaceae. The record is from the annotation of a GenBank genome assembly.